Long non-coding RNA from Harmonia axyridis, 763 nucleotides. RefSeq lists it as uncharacterized. The transcript is spliced from 3 exons. NCBI's taxonomy places the organism in Eukaryota, Metazoa, Arthropoda, Insecta, Coleoptera, Coccinellidae. The record is from RefSeq and is a predicted model, not a curated record.
AUAUGAUGAUAAAUAUUAUAAUACACAAUUUAUAUCAUCAUGUGAUCCAGAUUGUGGUUUAGGAUAUUGUAGUCAUUAUUAAAUAUGUUUGCACAAAUAUAAAUGUGAGUGUUCCACUAAUAGCAUCAAAGUUAUAUUGUGCAAGCAUUUGCAUGCUGUUACUAUGUUCGGACAAAGAAUAAAUUCUGUUUAAGAUGACGACAACAAUUUAGAAAUUAAUGAGCCAUCAACAAGUUAACUAUAAUGAAGAUGUGGGACAUUUUAUAGAUGAAACCAUUUCUAGUUCACAAAAUUUCACAUCUAUAAGCAAUGACACAGAAAAUGAUUUGGUGCAAUGUGUAAAACAAUUGAAGACUCUCAAUGCAGAAGGAAAGAGGAGAUUAUUUGCAACUAUCAAUGGAAAAUUUUCCAAACAUAGGGUCAAUGCCAAGAAGAACUAACAUCUAAGAAGUGAAAAUUGAGAAGCAAAUCUAUUUUCCAAGAAAAAAAUGAAUACAGAGACUACCAGAACUUCAUAGCAAAUAAUUUAGAACAUUGAAAUGAGAUUGACAAAAAAAUCGAGGUAAUAAAUUCUAACUGAACCAGCACAUAUAAGAGACGUACAAUGUUCAAAUGUGGAUAGAAGAACCAGUCAAUAUCAAAAUAAAAUAUGACAUACAUCCUUUACAUGAAUCAAUGAAAUCAAUUAUAAUUAAUAUAAUAUAAUUAUAUAUAAUUUUGAACAACUGUAAAUUUUCUUACAAUAAACUACUUCCUGUAUUGA